GGGGAUGUAGCUCAGAUGCUAAAGCGCUCGCUUAGCAUGCGAGAGGUACGGGGAUCGAUACCCCGCAUCUCCA
RNAcentral lists this transfer RNA (73 nucleotides) under Ipomoea nil (Japanese morning glory). It matches the Rfam family "tRNA". Rfam says of the family: Transfer RNA (tRNA) molecules are approximately 80 nucleotides in length. The record is from Rfam by way of RNAcentral. Lineage: Eukaryota; Viridiplantae; Streptophyta; Magnoliopsida; Solanales; Convolvulaceae.